This 337-nucleotide ribosomal RNA is filed under the name uncultured bacterium. Its description in RNAcentral is "bacterial SSU rRNA". It matches the Rfam family "Bacterial small subunit ribosomal RNA", at positions 8 to 352 of the family's 1533-position model. The record is from RNAcentral.
AGAGUUUGAUCCUGGCUCAGGAUGAACGCUAGCGGGAGGCCUAAUACAUGCAAGUCGAACGCUCUGAUUUCGGUCAGGGAGUGGCGCACGGGUGAGUAACACGUACGCAAUCUGCCUUGUGCAGGAGGAUAGCCCUGGGAAACUGGGAGUAAUACUCCAUGGUAUUGUCCAAUUGCAUGAUUGGAUAAUUAAAGCUACGGCGGCACGAGAUGAGCGUGCGUCUGAUUAGGUAGUUGGUGAGGUAACGGCUCACCAAGCCGACGAUCAGUAAGGGGCGUGAGAGCGUGGCCCCUCACACGGGUACUGAGACACGGACCCGACUCCUACGGGAGGCAGC